GUUGUCGGGUCUGGUCACCCUUCAUUUAUUUCAUUCUAGGGGUCAUUUCGGUCAGGCUAUUUAAAUAAUUUUUUAAUACCGAAACUGAUAUUGAUUAUUUACACAAAUUGCUGGAAAUUGAUCUUAAAAAUUAUGAUCGAUUAUGUUUAUCAGGUUAAUGUUGAAUGGCCUAAGUUUAAAUAUAAAAAAAUUAAUUUAAUUGGGCUGCAUGGGUGCGUGCAUGUCCAAUGGUACGGCUUGAAUCGGUUUUUUAAAAAUUUAAAUUAAAACCUAGCUGAAUUUUCUCAGUUCAAGCAUUUUUCACACUGACACCGUACUGCACAAAAAACUUUGAUUCUUAAUUUAAUUCUAAUUAAUGAUGUUACAAUCUUUUGAUACACUAUUUUUUCUGGUACAUUUUAGGAUUUGUAUUCCACGCUAUUGGAUAUAGCUUUGCUUUUGUAUCAUGACCAUGAAUACAAAGAAACAUAUAAUGCAUGUGAUCGAUUGAUUCUAAGUUGAGAAACAUUUGAAAGAUUUAAAAGAUUUAUCUUUUUUCUUGAAGAGUUGCUUUAAAUAAUAGCAAUUCAAGAGUUGAUCUUAGAGCCAGAGUUGCGCGGUCCUUUUUUUUGUGUGUGCUGAAAACGGGUUUUCAUACAAUACGUGUACGAAUAUACUCAAUAAAAUCAAAAAAUACUAACUUGCGGAGUGCCAAUGGCAGCUCCUCCUUUUCCGACCAAAGGGUAUAUCCUAAAUGAUGAGCUGC
Molecule: long non-coding RNA, 745 nt
Filed under: Phoenix dactylifera (date palm)
Lineage: Eukaryota; Viridiplantae; Streptophyta; Magnoliopsida; Arecales; Arecaceae
Description: long non-coding RNA (PDAC_LNC018706)
Source: RNAcentral